UUCAGGGAAAUAUGGCGGGUGGGGGCGGUGGCUUUUCCCCGGAGGCCCCGUGUGGGGCGGCGGCCGUGGAGUCUCACAAAGGAGGACCUUUGAGAGCGAUGGGCUUCCUCAGGCCUGAGGCUCGGAAUGCUGGUCUGUACUUCGUGGGGGAUCUUAACCUAUUCCAGGCGCUCGGCUGAGGCUGGGUUUUUUGAGUUAUGAAGGUUGAAGAUCCUGUUGCUUUCUUUUUUUCCGUUUUAAAUAAAUGGGUUUAUGUAG
Molecule: long non-coding RNA, 258 nt
Filed under: Homo sapiens (human)
Lineage: Eukaryota; Metazoa; Chordata; Mammalia; Primates; Hominidae
Description: tyrosine 3-monooxygenase/tryptophan 5-monooxygenase activation protein epsilon (ENSG00000274474.3)
Source: RNAcentral